This 116-nucleotide ribosomal RNA is filed under the name Pteropus alecto (black flying fox). Lineage: Eukaryota; Metazoa; Chordata; Mammalia; Chiroptera; Pteropodidae. The record is from RNAcentral.
AUCUACGACCAUGCCACCCUGAAUAAGUACGAUGUCCGAUCUUGGAAGCUAAGCAGGGUCGGGCCUGGUUAAUACUUGGAUGGGAGACCACCUAGGAAGACCAGGUGCUAUAGGCA